UACGAAGGGUGCAAACGUUGCUCGGAAUUAUUGGGCGUAAAGCGCACGUAGGCGGCUUAGCAAGUUGGAUGUGAAAUCCCUCGGCUCAACCAAGGAAGUGCAUCCAAAGCUGCUGAGCUUGAGUACUUAAGAGGAUCGCGGAAUUCCCGGUGUAGAGGUGAAAUUCGUAGAUAUCGGGAGGAACACCAGUGGCGAAGGCGGCGAUCUGGGAAGAUACUGACGCUGAGGUGCGAAAGCGUGGGGAGCAAACAGG
Molecule: ribosomal RNA, 253 nt
Filed under: uncultured bacterium
Lineage: Bacteria
Description: partial 16S ribosomal RNA
Rfam family: Bacterial small subunit ribosomal RNA
Source: RNAcentral